RNAcentral lists this transfer RNA (90 nucleotides) under Clostridiales bacterium. RNAcentral describes it as "tRNA-Ser". It matches the Rfam family "tRNA". Rfam says of the family: Transfer RNA (tRNA) molecules are approximately 80 nucleotides in length. Their secondary structure includes four short double-helical elements and three loops (D, anti-codon, and T loops). RNAcentral also lists the same sequence under 2 other names. Lineage: Bacteria; Bacillati; Bacillota; Clostridia; Eubacteriales. The record is from RNAcentral.
GGAGAGAUGGCAGAGAGGUCGAAUGCACAUGAUUCGAAAUCAUGCGUACCUUCACCGGUACCUAGGGUUCAAAUCCCUAUCUCUCCGCCA